This 70-nucleotide transfer RNA is filed under the name Nevromus exterior. Its description in RNAcentral is "tRNA-Val". The record is from RNAcentral. Lineage: Eukaryota; Metazoa; Arthropoda; Insecta; Megaloptera; Corydalidae.
CAAAGUAGGUGUACUGGAAAGUGUACCUAGAAAGAUCAAAUUAAAGCUUUAUAGAUAAGUUUUUCAUUUA